GGUUAAGCGACUAAGCGUACACGGUGGAUGCCCUGGCAGUCAGAGGCGAUGAAGGACGUGCUAAUCUGCGAAAAGCGUCGGUAAGGUGAUAUGAACCGUUACAGCCGGCGAUGUCCGAAUGGGGAAACCCAGUGCAAUUCGUUGCACUAUCGUUAACUGAAUACAUAGGUUAACGAGGCGAACCGGGGGAACUGAAACAUCUAAGUACCCCGAGGAAAAGAAAUCAACCGAGAUUCCCCCAGUAGCGGCGAGCGAACGGGGAGCAGCCCAGAGUCUGAAUCAGCUUGUGUGUUAGUGGAACGGUCUGGAAAGUCCGACGGUACAGGGUGAUAGUCCCGUACACCAAAAUGCACAGGUUGUGAACUCGAAGAGUAGGGCGGGACACGUGGUAUCCUGUCUGAAUAUGGGGGGACCAUCCUCCAAGGCUAAAUACUCCUGACUGACCGAUAGUGAACCAGUACCGUGAGGGAAAGGCGAAAAGAACCCCGGCGAGGGGAGUGAAAAAGAACCUGAAACCGUGUACGUACAAGCAGUGGGAGCACCUUUAUGGUGUGACUGCGUACCUUUUGUAUAAUGGGUCAGCGACUUAUAUUCUGUAGCAAGGUUAACCGUAUAGGGGAGCCGCAGGGAAACCGAGUCUUAACUGGGCGUUAAGUUGCAGGGUAUAGACCCGAAACCCGGUGAUCUAGCCAUGGGCAGGUUGAAGGUUGGGUAACACUAACUGGAGGACCGAACCGACUAAUGUUGAAAAAUUAGCGGAUGACUUGUGGCUGGGGGUGAAAGGCCAAUCAAACCGGGAGAUAGCUGGUUCUCCCCGAAAGCUAUUUAGGUAGCGCCUCGUGAACUCAUCUUCGGGGGUAGAGCACUGUUUCGGCUAGGGGGUCAUCCCGACUUACCAACCCGAUGCAAACUACGAAUACCGAAGAAUGUUAUCACGGGAGACACACGGCGGGUGCUAACGUCCGUCGUGAAGAGGGAAACAACCCAGACCGCCAGCUAAGGUCCCAAAGUCAUGGUUAAGUGGGAAACGAUGUGGGAAGGCACAGACAGCCAGGAUGUUGGCUUAGAAGCAGCCAUCAUUUAAAGAAAGCGUAAUAGCUCACUGGUCGAGUCGGCCUGCGCGGAAGAUGUAACGGGGCUAAACCAUGCACCGAAGCUGCGGCAGCGACACUAUGUGUUGUUGGGUAGGGGAGCGUUCUGUAAGCCUGCGAAGGUGGCCUGUGAGGGUUGCUGGAGGUAUCAGAAGUGCGAAUGCUGACAUAAGUAACGAUAAAGCGGGUGAAAAGCCCGCUCGCCGGAAGACCAAGGGUUCCUGUCCAACGUUAAUCGGGGCAGGGUGAGUCGACCCCUAAGGCGAGGCCGAAAGGCGUAGUCGAUGGGAAACAGGUUAAUAUUCCUGUACUUGGUGUUACUGCGAAGGGGGGACGGAGAAGGCUAUGUUAGCCGGGCGACGGUUGUCCCGGUUUAAGCAUGUAGGCUGGUUAUCCAGGCAAAUCCGGAUAAUCAAGGCUGAGGUGUGAUGACGAGGCACUACGGUGCUGAAGUAACAAAUGCCCUGCUUCCAGGAAAAGCCUCUAAGCAUCAGGUAACAUCAAAUCGUACCCCAAACCGACACAGGUGGUCAGGUAGAGAAUACCAAGGCGCUUGAGAGAACUCGGGUGAAGGAACUAGGCAAAAUGGUGCCGUAACUUCGGGAGAAGGCACGCUGGUGUGUAGGUGAAGUCCCUGCGGAUGGAGCUGAGACCAGUCGAAGAUACCAGCUGGCUGCAACUGUUUAUUAAAAACACAGCACUGUGCAAACACGAAAGUGGACGUAUACGGUGUGACGCCUGCCCGGUGCCGGAAGGUUAAUUGAUGGGGUUAUCCGUAAGGAGAAGCUCUUGAUCGAAGCCCCGGUAAACGGCGGCCGUAACUAUAACGGUCCUAAGGUAGCGAAAUUCCUUGUCGGGUAAGUUCCGACCUGCACGAAUGGCGUAAUGAUGGCCAGGCUGUCUCCACCCGAGACUCAGUGAAAUUGAACUCGCUGUGAAGAUGCAGUGUACCCGCGGCAAGACGGAAAGACCCCGUGAACCUUUACUAUAGCUUGACACUGAACAUUGAGCCUUGAUGUGUAGGAUAGGUGGGAGGCUUUGAAGCGUGGACGCCAGUCUGCGUGGAGCCAACCUUGAAAUACCACCCUUUAAUGUUUGAUGUUCUAACGUUGGCCCCUUAUCGGGGUUGCGGACAGUGUCUGGUGGGUAGUUUGACUGGGGCGGUCUCCUCCCAAAGCGUAACGGAGGAGCACGAAGGUUAGCUAAUCCUGGUCGGACAUCAGGAGGUUAGUGCAAUGGCAUAAGCUAGCUUGACUGCGAGCGUGACGGCGCGAGCAGGUGCGAAAGCAGGUCAUAGUGAUCCGGUGGUUCUGAAUGGAAGGGCCAUCGCUCAACGGAUAAAAGGUACUCCGGGGAUAACAGGCUGAUACCGCCCAAGAGUUCAUAUCGACGGCGGUGUUUGGCACCUCGAUGUCGGCUCAUCACAUCCUGGGGCUGAAGUAGGUCCCAAGGGUAUGGCUGUUCGCCAUUUAAAGUGGUACGCGAGCUGGGUUUAGAACGUCGUGAGACAGUUCGGUCCCUAUCUGCCGUGGGCGCUGGAGAAUUGAGGGGGGCUGCUCCUAGUACGAGAGGACCGGAGUGGACGCAUCACUGGUGUUCGGGUUGUCAUGCCAAUGGCACUGCCCGGUAGCUAAAUGCGGAAGAGAUAAGUGCUGAAAGCAUCUAAGCACGAAACUUGCCCCGAGAUGAGUUCUCCCUGAGACUUUAAGUCUCCUGAAGGAACGUUAAAGACGAUGACGUUGAUAGGCCGGGUGUGUAAGCGCAGCGAUGCGUUGAGCUAACCGGUACUAAUGAACCGUGAGGCUUAACCUU
RNAcentral lists this ribosomal RNA (2903 nucleotides) under Klebsiella quasipneumoniae. RNAcentral describes it as "23S ribosomal RNA". It matches the Rfam family "Bacterial large subunit ribosomal RNA". The record is from RNAcentral. Lineage: Bacteria; Pseudomonadati; Pseudomonadota; Gammaproteobacteria; Enterobacterales; Enterobacteriaceae.